CUCACCCACUCUACAAAGCAAGCAUCCAUCCCUUUGCAGUAGGACUCAGCCAGGCAAAGUGCUCUUCCAGAAGCAGGCUGGGGAGUUGGGGAAGCAAAGGUAUGAGGAAGAGAGAAGAGCCCAGAAAGCUGCAUUCCCACUCCUGCUCUGCCAUUCACAGGAUGCAAGAGCUUGGACAAGCCCAUACCGUCCCUGGACCUCCACCUCAGCACCAGUUUCUAAGACAAUAGUGUCCUAGCUUUCGUCUGUCACUACAGUAACCAAUGGGAGUUCACAACCCUGAGUCAUACUUGCAACAUAACCUGAUUAUCACCAGAUAAUCUGCCUGAGCAUGGGCCCUGGAAAGCAACAGAGCAGGUCACAGCCAUCUGUAACUUGUGAUAUCUUCCAUUGGUCUCCUCACUCUUCCGCUUUUCCCUCUUAAAGCACAUUCUCCACCACUCAUGGCCAAUAGCCUUUGAAUAAGGUUCUACUCUAGUUCAUAUGUGGAUCACAGAACCCACACUCUAACCCAAUCUGGCCAUCCCACUCCCCCUUGACACCAUGAUAGUUUCAGGGAGGGACAUGGACCCCAGAAGAGCCAAUGAGAGAAAACUACAUUUUGCUGGGAAUGCUGGCAUCAACGUAUAAGCGCUUCCCUUCUGGGCAUAAAGCUGAGAAGACGGUAGGUCUUGAGUUUCUGCUCUCAUCUUGGUGCCUGAAUGCAAACUUAAGCAGAAGAAAAUGGAGCCAAGGGACAGAGAGAAUAAAUUGGUCCCCAAUGGCAUUAUUUGAAUUCUAGUAUCAAACCAUCCCUGAAGCCAUCCGUCCCUGUGCCUGGGUUUUAAAUGAACUGAACUAUUCGAUUUUCUUUUUCAGCUACUUAUGAUGAGUUUCCCAUCACUCACAACUGAAAGACUCCUGCAUGACACAUGGUCCCACCCAAGAAGGUCAUUGUGGGAGUUCCCUUCAUGGCUCAGAGGUUAAGGAAUCCGACUAGGAUCCAUGAGGAUGCAGGUUUGAUCCCUGGCCUCGCUCAGUAGGUUAAGGAUCUGGCAUUGCUGUGAGCUGUGGUGUAGACUGGCAGCUGCAACUCCAAUUCAACCCUAAGCCUGGGAACUUCCAUAUGCCGCAGGUGUGGCCCUAAAAAGAAAAAGAUGAAGAAAAGGUCAUCGGGCCUCUCUUUGAUUACCUUCAGUGAUGGGGACCACUUUACCUCUUCCUGUUUCUUCCAAGCCUAUCUUUCGCUUGCCUCUCCAAGCUACUCCAAGGGAGCCAUCAAGGGGCACUUGAGAGAAGAGGGGGGAUAUGACAGACGUGAGGAGCGAGACUAUCCACAGCUGCAGGGCUGGCUGACAUUUAUGGGAAGUGUUAAAUCACUGGGGUCUUCCAGGUUGUUUAAUAUCAUCUAUUGAUUUGCUUUUGUUUCCCUGAAGGGAAGAAGGAUUUGACUAACAGCCAAUGUUCCCAUGAGAGCAAGUGCCAGAAGGGUUUUACUGAACACAGAAGAAUGGAAAGCCAGAAGAGAAAAGAAAAAGGGAAGAAUGAUGGUUUGUAAAAUUGGAAAAUAAUAUGUCCUUCACUGGGGCUGACACGGCCCUGGACAAACAGGUGAAAAAGGUGCAAUUUAUCUUGGGCAUCUUACACUUCCUCUAAUUACAUCCCUGACCUCUUUCCUACUUCACUGCUCCUCUCCUCAAGGGGGCAUCAUCUUGAUGCACCAGGAAAACAAAGAUUAUUAGAGUCUUCUGUAAGUAUGUUUCACACAUUCAGCACUAGGUCCAUUCACAGGCUCUCUCAUCUACCUAAUAAGUAUUUGUUAGUUGUCUAUUAUAUGCCAGGAUAAUCUUUUUUUAUUGUGGUUGUUCAUAAUAGAACACAAUUAGAAUUCAUAAUUAAAUGGUCCAUUCGGAUCGUUAACCCACUGAGCAAGGCCAGGGAUUGAACCCGCAACCUCAUGGUUCCUAGUCGGAUUCGUUAACCACUGCGCCACGACAGGAACUCCCCCUUUCUCUUUCUGUGAGCAUCUGACCCUCACAUGGUCCCCACAUAGUGAGCACAAUGGAGACGGUUCUGCUGGACACAGAAAGGGAAGGAGGACGUCUGCUGUAACUCCACCCCUAGCCAGGGCCCAGCAGUUCACAAAGGAAUUACGUGAACAUCCUUUCAUGGAGUAAGGAACAGAAACUCGAAGAGGAGACAUUCCAGUACAAGGGACCGUCACAGAGAUUGGAACCCAGGGUGCUUAACUCUUCCUUAACCCAGUACCCCUCCCCCACACCCCAUUCCAUGCUGCCAGAACUCUGUCCACCACAGCCUCUUUGGCUGCAUCUUCACAAAGCCUGAGAAGUAUUGGCUGCCAAGCCCAGUCUCCAGCCUUCUCUCUUUCCUCCACCCCAGUUAUAGGGGAAGUAGCACACCAUGCAGAAGGCAUGCACAGUAGUUUCUGCCAAACUUACACCCCACAAACACCACACCAAAGAGGGAAAUGAGAGGAGCUAAUAAUGGCAACAUCCUUCAGGAUCCAGUGCCUGGAUUCCCUUGACCCACUCAGAUCUAAUUUUCUGAAUGCAACCAAUGUCAUCAUCAUCUUCAUCACCACCAUCACCAGUGAUGUUCAAGGAGAGCUUACUAAGUAUCAAACACUGUCCCAAGCCAUCUCACAUGUAUGACCUCAUCUAAUUCACUGACAAUUUCAGAGGGCUAUGAUAUAAUGAUGAAUAGUGAUAAAUUAUUCUGCAUUUGCCAAUGAGAGAACUUCAUUCGGCUCAAAGAUAGCUGCAAGGUCAUGCAGCUACCACUUGGCAGAGUUCAAGUGCGAAUUUAAGUCUCUUAUCCUCUCUCCUCCCACUAGGGACUGUACUCACCAGUAGCCAAGGUGGGGCUGGCAGGGAGGAGACAUCCCAUUCUGGAAUGCACACAGCUCUUGACUUCUCACCUGCUUCUUGCUUUUCCUCUAUAACAAAUUUGCUGUGUCACUUUGAGCAAGUUAUUUAGUCUUUCUGGGCUUGGGUCUCUACAUCCCUAGAAGUGAGAAGCCGACCUAGAGUUACGUGGCCUUGAAGUGCCCUUCCAGCCCUACCAUCCUGUUAUCAGAUUCCUUUCUUCCUCUGAUCCCCAAAUGCCACAUCUACCUGUUGCGGGGUGAAGAAUACUACUGUAAAAGUGAAAAAUACCUAGGGUUCCCCCUUCUCAUAAAUCGUUAAAUGAGACUGAAGCAUUUUUGGUAAGAAAUCACAUAAUCCUAGAGAGCUUAGAGACUAUUCUAGUUGUAAGUUAACGAUAAAUAGUCUGAUAGCUAUCACUUAGGAGACCCUUUACUAUCUAUUCCAUGUAUUGUUCCAUGGAAUCCUCCAACAACCCUGUAGAUCUGUGCUUGUACCAUUUACAUAGUUUAGAGGAAGAAACUGAGACAUGAAGUGAUUAAGUAAUCUGCUCAUGGUAACCCAGCUAGUUAAGUGGUAAACCUGGAGCAUACUCCAAAGCAUGCCUCAGAAAACUUCUCACCCAAGUGUCCAACUCAGAGCAGACGUUGUCUCUGAAAAUUCCAAUGAACAGGCUCUGCCUGAAGAACUGCAAUAGUGAGUAAUUUCUAAAAUAUGCAACCUUUCAGAAAUGGAGAUUAAACACAAACAAUACCUGUAGCCUUGGUCCCAGUAAAAGAGAGAAGAGAGGUAAGUGUGCCUCUUUCUGAAAUGGUUCAGCAAAAGUAUUAGGAACUCUGCCUUCCUCUCACUGUUAUGUCUGCUUGGAGCCAAAAGAAAAGGCACUAAAAAAAAUGAAAAAUAUUUUUCUAAAAAACAUUUUUAAGCAUACCCAUCAGUCUGUAUAGUGCCAACAUGAUUAGUCUAAUCAAUAAAAGGCAAACCAUUGUCAUUGGAUGACCAUGAACAGGCAUUAGACUGUAUUUCUUGCCUCUAAGCAGGUAUGAUGGUAAUGAUUUCCAUGUCAUUACCCAGAUAGGGGAGGGGCUUAAGGAAGAAUCUUGCCUCAAAGACCUGGCUUCCCGGUCCUCUCCACAACUCUGAAAACCUGUACAUCAUUACGACUGCUGCUUUCUCUCCUCUCACCUGACCAAGUCCUCUUGGGUCCAGAUACUUCCAAUCUCUGCUGUGUAGCCUUCCCAGAGUUUUCCAGCUCCCACUCAUUUAGAUCUUCACUGCACUCUUAUUCUCUUGUAGGAUAGUUUAUCCUUCCACCAAAGACUGUGUGGUUCUAAUUCUUCUCACCAACAUGACUUUGGGCUAGUCACUUUUACCCCCUGAACCUCUGUUCUUCAUCUAUAACAAAGUGACUGGCCCUUUCAGCAACUGUGAAGCUAGGAGAUCCCGGCCAGGAGGACGUGAGAUCUCGUUGUUCUCCCAAUCUUUCGACCGUCCCCCAAAGCCCCUCAAUAAAGUGCAUUGAUCUCACAAAAAAAAAAAAAAAA
This 4408-nucleotide long non-coding RNA is filed under the name Sus scrofa (pig). RNAcentral describes it as "lncRNA (ENSSSCG00025059657.1)". The record is from RNAcentral. Lineage: Eukaryota; Metazoa; Chordata; Mammalia; Artiodactyla; Suidae.